This 492-nucleotide ribosomal RNA is filed under the name uncultured bacterium. RNAcentral describes it as "partial 16S ribosomal RNA". It matches the Rfam family "Bacterial small subunit ribosomal RNA", at positions 29 to 507 of the family's 1533-position model. The record is from RNAcentral.
AGUGAACGCUGGCGGUAGGCCUAACACAUGCAAGUCGAACGGCAGCACAGUAAGAGCUUGCUCUUACGGGUGGCGAGUGGCGGACGGGUGAGGAAUACAUCGGAAUCUACUUUUUCGUGGGGGAUAACGUAGGGAAACUUACGCUAAUACCGCAUACGACCUCCGGGUGAAAGCAGGGGAUCUUCGGACCUUGCGCGAUUGAAUGAGCCGAUGUCGGAUUAGCUAGUUGGCGGGGUAAAGGCCCACCAAGGCGACGAUCCGUAGCUGGUCUGAGAGGAUGAUCAGCCACACGGGAACUGAGACACGGUCCAGACUCCUACGGGAGGCAGCAGUGGGGAAUAUUGGACAAUGGGCGCAAGCCUGAUCCAGCCAUACCGCGUGGGUGAAGAAGGCCUUCGGGUUGUAAAGCCCUUUUGUUGGGAAAGAAAAGCAGCAGGUUAAUACCCCGCUGUUCUGACGGUACCCAAAGAAUAAGCACCGGCUAACUUCGUG